CCUACGGGCGGCAGCAGUGGGGAAUAUUGCACAAUGGGGGAAACCCUGAUGCAGCGACGCCGCGUGAGUGAAGAAGUAUUUCGGUACGUAAAGCUCUAUCAGCAGGGAAGAAAAUGACGGUACCUGACUAAGAAGCCCCGGCUAACUACGUGCCAGCAGCCGCGGUAAUACGUAGGGGGCAAGCGUUAUCCGGAUUUACUGGGUGUAAAGGGAGCGUAGACGGCAGCGCAAGUCUGGAGUGAAAUCCCAUGGCUUAACCAUGGAACUGCUUUGGAAACUGUGCAGCUAGAGUGCAGGAGAGGUAAGCGGAAUUCCUAGUGUAGCGGUGAAAUGCGUAGAUAUUAGGAGGAACACCAGUGGCGAAGGCGACUUACUGGACUGUAACUGACGUUGAGGCUCGAAAGCGUGGGGAGCAAACAGGAUUAGAUACCCCAGUAGUC
RNAcentral lists this ribosomal RNA (440 nucleotides) under uncultured bacterium. RNAcentral's name for it is "partial 16S ribosomal RNA". It matches the Rfam family "Bacterial small subunit ribosomal RNA", at positions 338 to 795 of the family's 1533-position model. The record is from RNAcentral.